GAUGUUGUUUCCUGAACGCUAGACAGGACGCGUUUACCUCAGCUCACGUGAUCCAACAGCUCCUGGCUCUGAGACGGCGCUGGAGUCAGCAGGACCAUCGGUGUGGAAACAUCUGCCCUCACCUGAACUCAUUUACUCAGGAAAAACACACAGCGAGCUUUGAUUGUGUCCCGUCAGCUGCAGUUUUCCAGGCCUCGUUCGGGUUUUUGCUGCUUUUCAUCCAGCUGGAGUGGAGCGUUUUGGUUCCUGCUGGCUAAAUUACAAAACACUAAAUCAAGAUGACUGCUGACAUCAACUGGAAAUGACACUGUUGACGAACUAAUGGAAA
Labeo rohita (rohu) is the source of this 328-nucleotide long non-coding RNA. RefSeq lists it as uncharacterized. The record is from RefSeq and is a predicted model, not a curated record. The transcript is spliced from 3 exons. NCBI's taxonomy places the organism in Eukaryota, Metazoa, Chordata, Actinopteri, Cypriniformes, Cyprinidae.